Molecule: ribosomal RNA, 254 nt
Filed under: uncultured bacterium
Lineage: Bacteria
Description: partial 16S ribosomal RNA
Rfam family: Bacterial small subunit ribosomal RNA
Source: RNAcentral
UACGAAGGGGGCUAGCGUUGCUCGGAAUCGCUGGGCGUAAAGCGCACGUAGGCGGGUUGUUAAGUCAGGGGUGAAAUCCUGGAGCUCAACUCCAGAACUGCCUCUGAUACUGGCAAUCUUUGAGUCCGGGAGAGGUGGGUGGAACUGCGAGUGUAGAGGUGAAAUUCGUAGAUAUUCGCAAGAACACCAGUGGCGAAGGCGGCUCACUGGCCCGGUACUGACGCUGAGGUGCGAAAGCGUGGGGAGCAAACAGG